AGGACUCCGGUCCUCCAGCUUGUGCCCAGCCCAGAUCCUGCCGUGGACAGGGGAAGGGUCCUACGGCUCCCGGGAGGAGCUGCGGCGCCGCGCGCUGGGCGGGGCCGGGCCUCCGGGCAGUUCGCCCGCCCGCCUCGGGGCUGGCACACAGCUGCACCGAGGCCUUGGCCGCUGUCCCUUUUUUCCAAGAAGGGAAAUAUCGCAGCUUUGUCCCGGAGGAGCAGAGCAGAGUGUGGCGCUGCGGGCCUCGUGACUCAUCCCCGGCUCCCACCCCGGCCAGCGUUGGGGGAGUAGCCGCCUCCUCCUGAGCCCCUUUCCCUGGAUGGCUCCUGCUUGCUGCAGGGCUGGGACUGGCCUUGCUCUUCAGUCUCCUGCCUCAGCCCUGCGCCCCCACCAGCGCUGACAGGCCUGCUCCACCGUGCUCGGCUUACCUCCCGAAGCUUGCUUCCAUAAGGGUCACGGUUUGUUUUGCAUCCUCCAAGCCUGAGGAAAUGUUCCUUUAAAUGUUUGCAACAGUAGUAGGUGGUGUGUGUGGCUUUUAAUUCUUAUUUUUCAUGGUUGAAACAGGCUCUCCUGUAGCCCGGGCUGGCCUUCAAGUCCUGACCCUCCUGCCUCAGCCUCCUUGGCGCUGGGACAGUAAAUGUGUGCUGCCACACCCAGUUUCGUGGUGCUGGAAAUGGAGCCAAGGGCUCCGGGCACGCUACACGGCGAGCGCACCAGUAACUGACUACACUACCCGCUGAGCUGCACCGGCUGAACCCCGACUGGGCUGGAAGGUGCGGCUGCGGUCUGUGCGUCAGGCAGCUACGGUCUGUGCGUCACGCGGCUGCGGUCUGUCUCUCUAAAGCGUUACUGUUCCACUCUGUGUGGCUGAGUGCGCCUGCUGCUGCCGUUGGAGGGCAAGAGAGGACGCCAACCUGGAUGUGGGAAGGUUGUGAGCUGCCAUGUGGGCGCUGGGAACCAAAUUUGAGUCCCCUCCAAGAGCAGCCAGCACCCUAAACUGCAGAGCCCUGUCUCUGCAGCCCCCACUCGGCACACGGCAUCCCUCGGGAGGCUGAGAUACAGCUGAAGAUCAACCACAGUAAGACCUUGUAUACAGAUAAAUAAAAUAAACCGAAACCAGCCUUCAAGGGAUCCCAUGAUAUUUAUUUCGUGCCACUAACAUCGUUAAGGGAUACAAGCAAGGCGGUGUGGGGAAGCCCCCCCCCCAGGCUCUGUGAGACACAUGGGGACCCUCUCCGGCUGGCCAGGCCCUUCCUUGUGGGGAGGGGAGCCUGGAGACCCUGGAAAAGGGUU
Long non-coding RNA from Mesocricetus auratus (golden hamster), 1296 nucleotides. RefSeq lists it as uncharacterized. The record is from RefSeq and is a predicted model, not a curated record. Lineage: Eukaryota; Metazoa; Chordata; Mammalia; Rodentia; Cricetidae. The transcript has 2 exons.